AUGUAUGAAGACAGAAGGAGUGAUAGGAAGAAGGGUAACCUGGAGAGUUCAUUUACUAUUUGCCAUUUGACAGAAGAGAUUGCCUUUGCUGCUGCUUUCACCCUACCUGGAGGAUACAACAAUGGUGCUGGAAGCGAGGGACUUCCCGUCAUGGCUCGCAAGGUUGCAUUUCAGGCAUUCCUGAUCUCUGAUACCUUAGCGAUGUGCUCUUCAUUUGCUGCCGCCUUCAUAUGCAUCAUGGCAAGGUGGGAGGAUUACGAGUUACUAUAGAUCCUUUACUAAGAAGCUCAUGUGGUUUGCAUAUGUGGCAAUUACCACAACCUUUUCAACUGGUUUAUAUACGGUGUUGGCCCCACAUCUCCACUGGUUGGCCAUUGCAAUUUGCAUUACUGUAGCUUUGUUGCCCAUUUUGACGAAGCUACUGGGCGAAUGGCCUGUCUUGAGGCUUAG
RNAcentral lists this ribosomal RNA (450 nucleotides) under Triticum aestivum (bread wheat). Its description in RNAcentral is "partial small subunit ribosomal RNA". The record is from RNAcentral. Lineage: Eukaryota; Viridiplantae; Streptophyta; Magnoliopsida; Poales; Poaceae.